UACCCGCAGCACAAGUGGUGGUCAUUAUUAUUGGGCCUAAAGCGUCCGUAGCUGGCGUGUUAGAUGCCUGGGUAAAUCGAUGCGCUUAACGCAUCGAAUUCCGGGUAGACCGGCACGCUCGAGACCGGGAGAGGUAUGGGGUACUCGGGGGGUAGGGGUAAAAUCCUGUAAUCCUCCGGGGACGACCAGUGGCGAAGGCGCCAUACUAGAACGGCUCUGACAGUGAGGGACGAAGCCCUGGGGCGCAAACCAG
This 253-nucleotide ribosomal RNA is filed under the name uncultured bacterium. Its description in RNAcentral is "partial 16S ribosomal RNA". It matches the Rfam family "Archaeal small subunit ribosomal RNA", at positions 474 to 727 of the family's 1478-position model. The record is from RNAcentral.